AUGCCAAGGCUUGGAGUGGAUGACCUCCCGUAUUGGAGUGGCAAAGAGGUUCGGUAUCCCCAAAGCAGGGGUUCUUUCCAGCUAUUUAAACACACUGCACUCAGUAAGGUGAAGAAGACUUGGGCACAGCUGCUCAAAAUAUUUGUCAGCAAAAUAAAAUUGAGUUGUUCUGUGAAGUUGGAUGGGGCUUUUGUCCGUGAGUACCGUGUGGUGAAGAGGUAUUGCAGCAGUGUAGCCUUGUCACUCUCAGUUCACAAAGCACCUUGGCUGGACACCUGCUUCCUUUCAUCUCAGAGAAACUCCAGCUUUGAUCCUAAAGAGACUGUCACAUCAUUUCAGCCAUGGGAAGCAUGGGUCUUUGUUUGUUUUAGCAAAGAGUAUUUGUUUUAGAGGACUGUUCUCUUUCACAGUAUAGCAAAGAGUGUUUGUUUUAGAGGACUGUUCUCUUUCACAGUAAGAACAAAACAAAUGCAAACAAAAGACUGGGAAAAAACUUGUAUGGAUCUUUGAGUGUGCAUUUGACUAUGCUUAGUAUUUAGCUGAGUUUGCUCUUUCCUUUUGUACAGUCUGCCUUGUUAAAGCGCCUUGAAGUCAACAGUGAGGAGAGCAGGAUGAGAACAACCUUCAACUUCUGAAAUUACCUUGAUGAUCUUUCAACAAUGAGUGGUUCUAUAUUUUGCUUCUUAGGGAAUAGUGCACUGGAAAAGCUCCAUGCUGUCCACACAGUGUGUGUGCCCACCUGCAGGCAGGAAAAAUGCAGCUUUAUGUUAGGUUUGUUUCUUGCUAGGUGUGCUACUCCUCAGUUCAGUUGAUUUUUGUUUUGCUGGGUAGAGAGAUGUAUUUCAUACAGAAAGUUUUCCUGGAUGUAUCUGAAGACAUGCUUCCAGUUUGCACACCAGUUUGUGUCCCCUAGAUGGCAGGAAAGGAUCAGUGUAACAGUGCCUUACCUGCUUUAGCUUGUGUUCAUCUGUGUGAAAGACUUAAAAUGCCUCAGUAAAUGAAGAGGCUGUGUACCUCAGUUCAGUAGCUGAACUGUGGGGAUCACGCUUAGAUGUAAUGGAGACAGCAUAAAGGAGGGGAAGAUUGAAUCACAUCUUUGGUGGGAAGAAAGCUUACAGUGAGGUUUUAAAAAAUUUCAAAACUGCUCUAUAGUUUAAAGGCAUUUUGUCUUAAUUCUUUAUGGUUAGAAUAAUAUUCCAGACCUUCUAUUGUUGCUGCAACUGCAAAUGUAGACAACAGAAAUAAUUAAUACAAUUCCUGGCAUGUUUCAUUUUAAUAAUAACUUCUGUCUGUUGCCCAUGACAGGCGUGAUUUUCUUGAACUUUGGUUGAUGACAGUUGCUCCUGUUGCCCUACUACUCCUCAAAUUGUAAGCAUCUGGAACAUUGGAGCUGUCACCUUGCAGUGUGUUUAGCUGUGAUGAUGAUUCGUAAUCUUUACUAUAUACUACUGCACAUGAAGGCUAAAUUCAAGUAAAAUAGUAGCUCUGUUCAAGAUUUAGAUUAUUCGUAGUGUAAGUAAUCAAAAUAGCAACAGUUGCAGUAGGCAGUACCACCAACAGGUUUUCAUUGCAAAUGUUGUUUCUUGUGUAGUUGAUAAAAUGUAUGUCAUAUUUGUUUAUUUCACUUUAUGCAGUGUUUGAAAAAGUUACUUACAUUAUAACUGUAACUACUGACAAGAGUAUUGUCUAAUAAUUGGCACUUCAUUUUUAUGUCCACAUUGAAAAUUACUGCUGGCUGAUCUUUAUUACAAGUGGAAUUUACUUGUAUAGUCUCAAAGGGCUCAUCCUCCAUUUGAACAAGAAAAGAAGUGGUGAAAAGUGUUGGGGUCAUCUCGGGAAGGAGUAAAGUCUUCAAGACCAUAAUUUCAUGUCUUUUCUAAGCAUAUUCUGUAUUGAAGCAAUGAGCAAGAACUUCUUGAAACUCACUAUUUUGGCAGCUCAUCUUUUACAACUAGAAGCAAAAGUUAACCUGUACGUACAAGUUGUACCAAAGGGUUUAGUUGAAAGACUUUGGAUACUGCUGAGGUGGGAGCAGUCGUGACCUAGCUUAGCUGUGUUCCGAGUCUGGAGUAGGGACAGAUCCCAUUCUGUUCCCAAAGCCACUCGGAUAGAGGUACUGGCAUGCUGUCCAUGGAAGCUGACCUGGAGAUCCCCACACCCUGAACGUGUGGGUACACUUUCUGUGUGGGUUGUUCAGCCCACAGAAGCCGUCUCCAGAGCCCUGCACAGAGGCUUCUGUGCUCUUGUGUGGGUACACUUUCUGUGCGGGUUGUUCAGCCCACAGGAGCCGUUUCCAGAGCCCUGCACAGAGGCUUCUGUGCUCUGCAGUGCACACAGUGCUCUUGCUGUGUCCACAGAGAAUGAGGUGGAUCUGCCUCCAGAGAUGACUGGUUUCACUGCACUCCUCUCCUGAAAUGACUGCAAAGUUACUGGAAGCUGCAAUGAAGUGUACCAAGAUAAACCUCAGUGGAAAUAUUAAUAGAAAUUUUCAGAUGUAAAUUUCAGAUUUACCAACAUUUUAGAAUUAAAUUAAUUAAAAGGCACUGUUGGUUGGAAAAAUGUCUACUGAGUUGUUAAAAAUUUUCAGAAAACAUGUUUCAAAAAUAGGGCUGCUAAGACUGAUAGUGACUUAGAAUUUUCAUAGCUG
This is a long non-coding RNA of Ficedula albicollis (Collared flycatcher), 2647 nucleotides long. NCBI's taxonomy places the organism in Eukaryota, Metazoa, Chordata, Aves, Passeriformes, Muscicapidae. The record is from Ensembl.